RNAcentral lists this long non-coding RNA (1839 nucleotides) under Takifugu rubripes (torafugu). Its description in RNAcentral is "lncRNA (ENSTRUG00000033027.1)". The record is from RNAcentral. Lineage: Eukaryota; Metazoa; Chordata; Actinopteri; Tetraodontiformes; Tetraodontidae.
UAACAUCAAAAGAGGAAAAAUGCAAGCGAAUAUAUCUCUAAAAGAGAGGAGGAGGGAGGAAGGGAGAGAGACACACACAUAGACCUUAAUACCUGUUGACCCAAAGCCAUUACAAAAAUGGAAAUUCAUUACCAGCUGCGUCCGGACUCGUGUGCGUCACGUAAUUGAAAUGCACCUUUAUGCCCCAACAACGCCUCAAAAAAACAAGGUAUUAAGCGGCCCUGUCUCCUCCCUCAAAGUAAUAACAAGCGGAUAUUAUCACAUACAGUUUUGCUUCGUUUGAUUUUGUGCGUCAUAAAUUUGAUUCAUCACGUGAUUGACGAUUGAUUAUCACCUGAUUGAUCCUUCACCUUAUUCCAUUUCUGGUCAUGGUGCAUGGUGGCCGAGGCGGGUCUGUACAGAAACUCCCAGAGAAUAUUUACCCUUUUCAGUAAAAAAGCAAUUCACAGAACACACUCGGGUUGUAAUUAACCAACGUUUGUCCUCAGCAGAAUAAGAGCAACAGGAAACAGGGGAGAUAUUGCUGCCUUUACCUUUUCAUGCAUCCACGGAGAGCGCGUCCGCGGGUGUUCAGGAGAAGAAAGUACGUUAAUCCGUAUUUCGGAGACCUAGUUUUAGGAUUCUUUCCUGUAACUCCCCAGCCUCUGCGGGGUCUCCAGCGGGGAGGUCUGAUAUCCAACAGAUUUUAAAGCCAAAGCAGCAAUCCGGGGUUCAGCGCGCUCCUGGUCUGCAUCUUCCCUAUUAACGCGCUCGCUUUUACGCACCGCUGUAAAUCAGGAAAGGUCGUGCCAAGAGAAAGAACAGAUGGACCGAACACCAACGGCGCGUCUCGGAAAUCCACGUGUGUGUUCCGUCCUCCCGACCUUUUUUUUUCCCUCUUGUGUUCACCAGUAGAGUUGCAAUCACAAUUCUGAGCUCAUUAACGCCGUCAGGUGUGACAGGAGACCGACGCGCUGCGCCCCGGUGGCUGAAGGCUUCCGCAUGUCAGUCGGUGUGGUUGAACCUCUCAGAAGAAUGGGGGACGGUGAAGACGCUCUCCUGGUCAGCCCCUGUUGCCGCGCACCCACGCACCCUCUCCAGAAAGUGGAGCCACCAGCACCAGCGUACCUCAGCACCCUCCUGCUGCCUUUCAAGCACCUAAAUGGCACCAAGGUCCUCGUCAAUGCUGGAGCGCCGGGGGAUGGAGGACAAAAAGCUCUGGAGUAUUCUGAGCAGAGUGACGCUGGAGAAGACGAAGAUGAGCUUAAAGCAAAGGAGAUCUUAAAGUUAAAGCUGAAAGAAUCUAGGAAGAGAUGCUGUCCACAUGGGGAGCUGUCCACAGCUUCACAGCCAGAGAUGAAGACACUCUAUGAACUGUGUGCAGUUAUUGUGAACAUUGAUUCCACAUAAAUGUGCAGAAAUCGCUCUGAUUGAAAGGCGCUCAGCCGUGUCAGCGCAGGUGAGAUGGUGGUCGGCUUUACCAUCACUGGGUCACACUCGGUGAUCAGCAGAAUCGGCCAGGCCAUAAUUGUUAGAGAACAGAAGGUAGAUCAAAAUAAAUCUGUUCCACUCCAGUCGUCGAGUGUGUGCUCGUGCUCAGGGGCAUUAGCUUGUCACAUCUCCGGAUCAUUAGUUUUUCUACGAGUGACCAUGCAAACACAUAAUCUGUGCACGACAAGAGUGUCCUAUCUGUUUCAUACGCAUCAACAUCUGCAUGGUGUCAUGUUGAGAUUAAGGUUUUACAGUCAUCACUAAGGAAACAGCAGCAUGGUUGCUAAGCAAAUGGUGUUUAUCAGAGUUUAUAAAAUGCUACCAGGAGACCUGUUUCAUUCAAUUUUAAAGCCAGUUGCUCAUGUUUAU